UACAAUACUAAAAGGCAAAUAUACGCCAUGGAAAAGGUGUCCACGUCCUCACAAAAAAUCAGCCAAUGAAGAGCAUUUAAUUUGACACGUCAGAUAGGCCUCACAAUUGUGGGUUUCAAACGUGGUAAACGCUGGUAAGUCUGGGUAUGGAUUUGAUCGUUUUUUUAAUUGGCCCAACUGGACCCAAAACACACAAAGAAACGCGUCGAAGGAUGACGCUUCGCUUCACCUCUACCAGUUCGUCUUCUCCAAUUGAAGAGCAAAGAAACCGAGUAGUAAUGAGCCAUUUCUACACAAUCAAUACUUUCGUUUCAAUCAAUCAAUACGUUCUUAAUGAUUUCGUUCCAUCUCUCUCUCUUUUUCUCCUUCUUUAUAUACUUAGAUUCUUUCCUUCCUUCAAACCAAAAUCCUAGAACCACUCAAACCUCAAGCCAUGGCGAUGAAACGAAAUGGGAAGUCCCCUGUCUCCUCUGAUUCUGAUGAGAAAGUCAUGUUCUUCAAGGAUGUCUCUUUAGGUCCCCAUGAAUCUCAGUUGCGAUUCCGACUCAUCCACUUCUGGAAAGCUCGGGUUAAGAAGACACUUAUUGGCCUGGAUCAUGGUAUUGGUGUGAUAUGCAUCUUUCUAAGUAUUAACAAAUGUUUAUUUUUGUUUGUUACAAUUCAAACCGUUUCAUGAAUAGAGGCGUGAGCAAGGUCAUUUUGGCAAACUGUUUGCGUUGGUAAUGUGGAUCACAUGGUUUUUGUUUUUUUUUUAACAACGAAACACAUAGUUAUCUAUGUAGUUUUUAAUCUACAUUCUUUUAACUGUUGUUGCUUUCUUUCUCUUAAUGAGUUGAAAACCCAAUAGCUUCUGCAACUCUAGCUGGUGAUUUUGGAAUUGGGUCUGAACAACUUCUGCUGAUGUGAAAAGAUCACACCUUGCUUCUCUGCAGUAAUAUAGAAGAGUAAUAAAGAUCCCACGGAGUAGUCUUUGUUUACCACAAGUGAAAGAAAGAGCCUUUUGUUUUUGUUUACUGAUGGGUGAGGAGUUAGCUGACACAAUGAACCUAGAUUUGAAUUUUGGGCCCGGUCCUGAGUCAGAUCUCCAGCCGUCCCUAAACGAAACUGUGAAUCUGGUUGAUUGGAGUAAUGACCCAUCCGAGAGAUCCUCUGAAGCUGUGACGAGGAUCAGAACUCGGCACAGGACGCGGUUCAGACAACUUAAUCUCCCCAUACCAGUUAUAUCUGAAACCCAUAUGUCUAUUGAACUGAACCAGUUGAUGUGAAGUCCUGUAACCGGAGCUGCUUUGCAGACUGGCGAGGGUAGUGAAAGAGGCAAUGAGGAUCUGAAAAUGUGAGAGAAUGGAUAUGGAGCCAUUGGUGACAGUGUGUCAGAGAAGAAAACGGACGUGGAGAAAAGCAGUGGCAGCGAUGGUAACUUCUUCGAUUGUAAUAUAUGUUUGGAUUUGUCCAAAGAGCCGGUUCUCACCUGUUGUGGCCAUCUUUGAUAGUGUCUUCACUUGGUGUCUUUUAAAUGACAUUAUUCAGGGGAAAUGAUGAUGAUUUGCUAAGAUCAAAAACACUUAUUGUCCUAUCCUCUCAAGAAAGAGAAAGGGUUUAUGAUAUGUAUAUAUACCUAUUCUUAAACAAUAAUAUUGUUACAAUUCAACAGCAA
Molecule: long non-coding RNA, 1654 nt
Organism: Brassica napus (rape)
Lineage: Eukaryota; Viridiplantae; Streptophyta; Magnoliopsida; Brassicales; Brassicaceae
Exons: 2
Source: RefSeq, a predicted model, not a curated record